This 555-nucleotide ribosomal RNA is filed under the name Triticum aestivum (bread wheat). Its description in RNAcentral is "partial small subunit ribosomal RNA". The record is from RNAcentral. Lineage: Eukaryota; Viridiplantae; Streptophyta; Magnoliopsida; Poales; Poaceae.
AUGGUUGAACUUAAUGAGGCCAGCCUCACGAACCUGAAAUUCCUUCUCCUAUGCUUCGAGGCGCUAUCGGGUCUUAAAAUUAACUUUUCAAAGAGCGAAGUAAUUGUGACUGGGGUACCUGACUCUGAAGCUCAGAGAGUGGCACAUCUUCUGAACUGCUCCCUUGGUUCUUAUCCUUUCAAAUACCUGGGCCUCCCAAUCUCCCCUCUCAAGCUAUUGGCAAAAGACUUUGCCCCGGCAGUGACUAAAGUAGGGAACAGAGUCCUGCCGUGGAGAGGCCGUUAUAAUUCCCAGGCGGGCAAGGUCGCCCUCACUAAUGUGUGCCUCUCCUCCCUUCCGAUGUUUCUAAUGGGCUUUUAUCUCCUGUCCGGAGGGACUCACGCUGGUUUCGACAAGCAUAGGGGUGCUUUUUACUGGAACUCCUCGGACAAUAAGCGCAAAUAUGGGAUGGUUAAGUGGGAUCUAAUUUGUAGGCCUAAGAACAUGGGGGGCCUAGGCAUCAUUAACACGAUGGUCAUGAACAAGUGCCUCAUGAUAAAAUGGUGGUGGAAAAUU